GAUGAACGCUGGCGGCGUGCCUAAUACAUGCAAGUCGAGCGAACGGACGAGAAGCUUGCUUCUCUGAUGUUAGCGGCGGACGGGUGAGUAACACGUGGAUAACCUACCUAUAAGACUGGGAUAACUUCGGGAAACCGGAGCUAAUACCGGAUAAUAUUUUGAACCGCAUGGUUCAAAAGUGAAAGACGGUCUUGCUGUCACUUAUAGAUGGAUCCGCGCUGCAUUAGCUAGUUGGUAAGGUAACGGCUUACCAAGGCGACGAUGCAUAGCCGACCUGAGAGGGUGAUCGGCCACACUGGAACGGAGACACGGUCCAGACUCCUACGGGAGGCAGCAGUAGGGAAUCUUCCGCAAUGGGCGAAGGCCUGACGGAGCAACGCCGCGUGAGUGAUGAAGGUCUUCGGAUCGUAAAACUCUGUUAUUAGGGAAGAAGAUAUGUGUAAGUAACUGUGCACAUCUUGACGGUACCUAAUCAGAAAGCCACGGCUAACUACGUG
This 497-nucleotide ribosomal RNA is filed under the name uncultured bacterium. RNAcentral describes it as "partial 16S ribosomal RNA". It matches the Rfam family "Bacterial small subunit ribosomal RNA", at positions 28 to 507 of the family's 1533-position model. The record is from RNAcentral.